CGCUACGGACUUGAAAAUCCGUUGGCUUUAUUGACCGUGAGGGUUCAAGUCCCUCUACCCCC
This 62-nucleotide transfer RNA is filed under the name Rhytidium rugosum. RNAcentral describes it as "partial tRNA-Leu". Lineage: Eukaryota; Viridiplantae; Streptophyta; Bryopsida; Hypnales; Rhytidiaceae. The record is from RNAcentral.